GUGCGAACACAUCCUGUUGACAAGUUGUUGGAACAGCAUUGCUACAAGUCUGCUGCAGGUUUAUUACAAUUUGUGCGUUUUUACUUAUGUAAUCUACAGCUGAAAUUAAAAAAGUCCUUUAAUAGUCACUAUGUUUUUCAAAACGUGAUCGGCGUUAACUUAAAAUAAUAAUUCGGCUAUGAGACUACAUAAAAGAGACAAAUACCACGC
Non-coding RNA from Paramuricea clavata, 210 nucleotides. NCBI's taxonomy places the organism in Eukaryota, Metazoa, Cnidaria, Anthozoa, Malacalcyonacea, Plexauridae. The record is from the annotation of a GenBank genome assembly.